This 350-nucleotide long non-coding RNA is filed under the name Capsicum annuum. RNAcentral's name for it is "long non-coding RNA (CANN_LNC009764)". The record is from RNAcentral. Lineage: Eukaryota; Viridiplantae; Streptophyta; Magnoliopsida; Solanales; Solanaceae.
GCAGUAGUAGAGUUUGUGAGAAGGUUAUUUGUAUGGAGAGAAAUAAAAGUGUCAUGGUUCGUAUGAUGAGGUAAGAAAUGAUUAUGGAAGGUAUUUGUAGUGGAAGUGCAGGUGGUAAAAGCAGAGUACCCAGACGGCUUGGGAAAAGAGCUUGCCUGGUUGAUUAGACUGUAAGUGGUGUGUCGCUCUGGUCUUUUGGGUUCUUAGCCUCUUAGAGAGAGUCAAAUCUAUUGGUGGUGCCCAAUAUGGACUUACUGGGAGUAGAAAUUUUUGAAAGAGAGGGAAAUGGUCUUGAUGGGCCUGAGUUUCUUGGGCCUUUGGAGAAGAGACAUUAUUUUUAUAAACCUUUG